UGCAUCGGCCGGGAAUCGAACCCUGGCCGCCCGCGUGGCAGGCGAGCAUUCUAUCACUGAACCACCGAUGC
This is a non-coding RNA of Cordylochernes scorpioides, 71 nucleotides long. The record is from the annotation of a GenBank genome assembly. Lineage: Eukaryota; Metazoa; Arthropoda; Arachnida; Pseudoscorpiones; Chernetidae.